This is a long non-coding RNA of Oncorhynchus keta (chum salmon), 478 nucleotides long. RefSeq lists it as uncharacterized. Lineage: Eukaryota; Metazoa; Chordata; Actinopteri; Salmoniformes; Salmonidae. The transcript has 3 exons. The record is from RefSeq and is a predicted model, not a curated record.
CACUGUAAAUAACAUAUAUAUAAAAAUAUAUUGAACUGUAUUGAAAACAUUUUAUAAUGUACCAUAAACAUGAAGUAGCUAAAUGUGAAAUAUCUCUGCUUGAAUUUAUACGAGAUGCGGAAUAAAAUGUGCACUGGCAACGUAUCCUAUUCAUUUCCAUUUCCCCAGGUAUCUCAGAGAAAUCAUCUGCACUGGCAACGUAUCCUAUUCAUUUCCAUUUCCCCAGGUAUCUCAGAGAAAUCAUCUGCACUGGCAACGUAUCCUAUUCAUUUCCAUUUCCCCAGGUAUCUCAGAGAAAUCAUCUGCACUGGCAACGUAUCCUAUUCAUUUCCAUUUCCCCAGGUAUCUCAGAGAAAUCAUCUGCACUGGCAACGUAUCCUAUUCAUUUCCAUUUCCCCAGGUAUCUCAGAGAAAUCAUCUGCACUGGCAACGUAUCCUAUUCAUUUCCAUUUCCCCAGGUAUCUCAGAGAAAUCAUCU